GCAGACCACAGGUCAUUUUGAGGAGGACUUUAUGUCCAGAUGCAGAAAGGGCCCAAUCUGGUGGAUGAACCACAUGCCAGCUUCUGGGUGCAGGCACAGUGCCACAUCUUCCAUCACUUCCUGAUAUGUGCCCCACCAGCACUGAAGAGACAGCCUGGAAACAGGACAAUAUAAAGGCUGAGAAGGGUGAGAUGGUGAGUGCCAGCUUCCAAAUGACCCUGAGUCCACCCCCAUGGUAGCCUUCAACCUUUAGGAAUCGAAUGCUACACCAAGAAGAUGGACAACAGGGCACUCAACUCAACUUCACAGCCAAUGAGUUGACAUGCAAGCAGAUGAUGGUGGCAGGCUUUAAGAAGGAGCAUCAGAAGGCAGGCAGUUUUUCUUCAGCCUCAGCCAGGCCUUGGAGCUGGACCAGGCCAUCCACUUCACCAGAGGUGCCAGCAACACCAUCAGUGAGCUCUCUGCCAAUCUGUCCCAACAAGGCCUGGACCCCAUGAUGCACCUGUUAUUGUUGUCUCAGGGACACCAGUCCAACGUCCUGGACAUCAUCCAUGUACCCAAGGAAGCUCUUGCCAAAGUCAUGGAAAGCAGGCAACAUGUGGCAGAAAGGAAGCAGAAGUGCAGAGGCUGAUGACAUCAGGAUCACGGUAACAGGAUUUAUUUGGCCACUUUGGCUGAAAUUCACCACUUCCAUCCAACUAAAUUGAGAAACUUGAAAUCACAAAUGCAGUAUUUCUUGCAACAAGAGAUACUAUUUUUCCAAAAAGUCACCCAGGAAU
This 779-nucleotide long non-coding RNA is filed under the name Homo sapiens (human). Its description in RNAcentral is "non-protein coding lnc-HGSNAT-9:1". The record is from RNAcentral. Lineage: Eukaryota; Metazoa; Chordata; Mammalia; Primates; Hominidae.